This is a non-coding RNA of Botryobasidium botryosum FD-172 SS1, 81 nucleotides long. The record is from Rfam. NCBI's taxonomy places the organism in Eukaryota, Fungi, Basidiomycota, Agaricomycetes, Cantharellales, Botryobasidiaceae.
GGCAACACUGUGUUUGGUAUGUUUGUGUCCAGGGUUAAAAGUUUUAACCCUGGACACAAACAUACCAAACACAGUGUUGCC